Acipenser ruthenus (sterlet) is the source of this 430-nucleotide long non-coding RNA. RefSeq lists it as uncharacterized. NCBI's taxonomy places the organism in Eukaryota, Metazoa, Chordata, Actinopteri, Acipenseriformes, Acipenseridae. The transcript has 3 exons. The record is from RefSeq and is a predicted model, not a curated record.
CUCUCAGUCACGCGUGGUGAGGCCGAAACAGGAGACGACCAUCUUAGAGCCUGGAGGAAGGGCUAUCCUCAGCCAUGGAUUCCCUGAGGUUUCCCCCUACCAUCAAAAAAUAUAUAAAUAAUAUAACUGCAAUAUGGCCCUGCAGCAAAGAGGCAAAGGCGGGGAGCAACAAACCUUCUUUAGGUUUGGCAUUAAAUGCAAAAUCAACCCUGCUGAUAACGUUGAUGCAUCAGAGAGUCAAGCGCCUGCCGCAGGAGAAGCUGGAAUCCCCCAAGUAACUCAAAAUCGUGUCUGUGACAAUGUCUGACCUCUGUUCCAGUUGUACUUUUUGCUUUGAAACUCAGAAGACAUAAAGAUGAAAUCCGGUCACAGUGGUUCAGUACACAUGGCUGGCAGAACAUCUACAAACUCCAGAGCCAUAAGAUGCUGG